GGUGGGAUUACCCGCUGAACUUAAGCAUAUCAAUAAGCGGAGGAAAAGAAACUAACAAGGAUUCCCCUAGUAACGGCGAGUGAAGAGGGAAAAGCCCAAAUUUGUAAUCUGGCUCUUUCAGAGUCCGAGUUGUAAUUUUAAGAACUGUUUUCCGUGCUGGACCAUGUACAAGUCUGUUGAAAAACAGCAUCAUUGAGGGUGAAAAUCCCGUACAUGAUAUGGACUACCAGUGCAAUGUGAUACAGUCUCUAAGAGUCGAGUUGUUUGGGAAUGCAGCUCAAAGUGGGUGGUAAAUUCCAUCUAAGGCUAAAUAUAGGUGAGAGACCGAUAGCAAACAAGUACCGUGAGGGAAAGAUGAAAAGAACUUUGGAAAGAGAGUUAACAGUACGUGAAAUUGUUAAAAGGGAAACAUUUGAAGUUAGACUUGUUAUUGUUGGUUCAACUUCUUUAUUGAGGUGUAUUCCAAUGGUUAACAGACCAGCAUCAAUUUUUGGGUGUUGGAUAAGGGUUUAGGAAAUGUAGCAACCUUGGUUGUGUUAUAGUCCUUUACUUUGAUACAAUGCUUAGGAUUGAGGAACGCAGUAAGCUUUGUAGCAGA
This 598-nucleotide ribosomal RNA is filed under the name Nothopucciniastrum tiliae. RNAcentral's name for it is "Pucciniastrum tiliae partial large subunit ribosomal RNA". It matches the Rfam family "Eukaryotic large subunit ribosomal RNA", at positions 14 to 623 of the family's 3401-position model. Lineage: Eukaryota; Fungi; Basidiomycota; Pucciniomycetes; Pucciniales; Pucciniastraceae. The record is from RNAcentral.